AGUCGAGCGGACAGAAGGGAGCUUGCUCCCGGAAGUUAGCGGCGGACGGGUGAGUAACACGUAGGUAACCUGCCCCUUAGACUGGGAUAACUCCGGGAAACCGGAGCUAAUACGGGAUAAUAAAGAGAAUCGCCUGAUUUUCUUUUGAAAGACGGUUUCGGCUGUCACUAAGGGAUGGACCUGCGGCGCAUUAGCUAGUUGGUAAGGUAACGGCUUACCAAGGCGACGAUGCGUAGCCGACCUGAGAGGGUGAUCGGCCACACUGGGACUGAGACACGGCCCAGACUCCUACGGGAGGCAGCAGUAGGGAAUCUUCCGCAAUGGACGAAAGUCUGACGGAGCAACGCCGCGUGAGUGAGGAAGGCCUUCGGGUCGUAAAGCUCUGUUGUGAGGGAAGAACAAGUGCCGGCGUAACUACCGGCACCUUGACGGUACCUCACCAGAAAGCCACGGCUAACUACGUGCCAGCAGCCGCGGUAAUACGUAGGUGGCAAGCGUUGUCCGGAAUUAUUGGGCGUAAAGCGCGCGCAGGCGGCUUCUUAAGUCUGAUGUGAAAUCUCGGGGCUCAACCCCGAGCGGCCAUUGGAAACUGGGGAGCUUGAGUGCAGAAGAGGAGAGUGGAAUUCCACGUGUAGCGGUGAAAUGCGUAGAUAUGUGGAGGAACACCAGUGGCGAAGGCGACUCUCUGGUCUGUAACUGACGCUGAGGCGCGAAAGCGUGGGGAGCAAACAGGAUUAGAUACCCUGGUAGUCCACGCCGUAAACGAUGAGUGCUAGGUGUUAGGGGUUUCGAUGCCCGUAGUGCCGAAGUAAACACAUUAAGCACUCCGC
Molecule: ribosomal RNA, 830 nt
Rfam family: Bacterial small subunit ribosomal RNA